UGGGGAAUAUUGCACAAUGGGCGCAAGCCUGAUGCAGCCAUGCCGCGUGUAUGAAGAAGGCCUUCGGGUUGUAAAGUACUUUCAGUCGGGAGGAAGGUGUCAAGGUUAAUAACCUUGGCAAUUGACGUUACCGACAGAAGAAGCACCGGCUAACUCCGUGCCAGCAGCCGCGGUAAUACGGAGGGUGCAAGCGUUAAUCGGAAUUACUGGGCGUAAAGCGCACGCAGGCGGUUGAUUGAGUCAGAUGUGAAAUCCCCGGGCUUAACCCGGGAAUUGCAUCUGAUACUGGCAAGCUUGAGUCUCGUAGAGGGGGGUAGAAUUCCAGGUGUAGCGGUGAAAUGCGUAGAGAUCUGGAGGAAUACCGGUGGCGAAGGCGGCCCCCUGGACGAAGACUGACGCUCAGGUGCGAAAGCGUGGGGAGCAAACAGG
This 429-nucleotide ribosomal RNA is filed under the name Chloroflexota bacterium. RNAcentral's name for it is "Chloroflexi bacterium partial 16S ribosomal RNA". It matches the Rfam family "Bacterial small subunit ribosomal RNA", at positions 355 to 776 of the family's 1533-position model. Lineage: Bacteria; Bacillati; Chloroflexota. The record is from RNAcentral.